AUGAGUCUGCGGACUAUCAGGUAGUAGUCAGGGUAAAGACCUGACUAGCCUACGAUGGAUAUGGGUUGUGAGAGCAAUAACCCGGAGACGAUAUCUGAGACACGAUAUCGGGCCCUACGGGGCGCAGCAGGCGCGAAAACUUCACACUGUGCGAAAGCACGAUGAGGGAAUCCCAAGUGCUUGCUCGUAAGAGUAAGCUGUUUUUAUGUCUAAAAAGCAUAGAGAGUAAGGGCUGGGUAAGACGGGUGCCAGCCGCCGCGGUAAUACCUGCAGCUCAAGUGGUGACCACUAUCAUUGGGCCUAAAACGUUCGUAGCCGGUUUAUUAAAUGCUUGGGUAAAUCGUGUAGCUUAACUAUACGAAUUCCGGGUAGACUGAUACACUUGAGACCGGGAUAAGCUAGAGGUACUCCUGGGGUAUAGGUGACAUUCUGUAAUCCUGGG
This 442-nucleotide ribosomal RNA is filed under the name uncultured archaeon. RNAcentral's name for it is "bacterial SSU rRNA". It matches the Rfam family "Archaeal small subunit ribosomal RNA", at positions 209 to 652 of the family's 1478-position model. The record is from RNAcentral.